This 1554-nucleotide ribosomal RNA is filed under the name Escherichia coli. RNAcentral's name for it is "bacterial SSU rRNA". It matches the Rfam family "Bacterial small subunit ribosomal RNA". Lineage: Bacteria; Pseudomonadati; Pseudomonadota; Gammaproteobacteria; Enterobacterales; Enterobacteriaceae. The record is from RNAcentral. RNAcentral also lists the same sequence under 1 other name.
AAAUUGAAGAGUUUGAUCAUGGCUCAGAUUGAACGCUGGCGGCAGGCCUAACACAUGCAAGUCGAACGGUAACAGGAAGAAGCUUGCUUCUUUGCUGACGAGUGGCGGACGGGUGAGUAAUGUCUGGGAAACUGCCUGAUGGAGAGGGAUAACUACUGGAAACGGUAGCUAAUACCGCAUAACGUCGCAAGACCAAAGAGGGGGACCUUCGGGCCUCUUGCCAUCGGAUGUGCCCAGAUGGGAUUAGCUAGUAGGUGGGGUAACGGCUCACCUAGGCGACGAUCCCUAGCUGGUCUGAGAGGAUGACCAGCCACACUGGAACUGAGACACGGUCCAGACUCCUACGGGAGGCAGCAGUGGGGAAUAUUGCACAAUGGGCGCAAGCCUGAUGCAGCCAUGCCGCGUGUAUGAAGAAGGCCUUCGGGUUGUAAAGUACUUUCAGCGGGGAGGAAGGGAGUAAAGUUAAUACCUUUGCUCAUUGACGUUACCCGCAGAAGAAGCACCGGCUAACUCCGUGCCAGCAGCCGCGGUAAUACGGAGGGUGCAAGCGUUAAUCGGAAUUACUGGGCGUAAAGCGCACGCAGGCGGUUUGUUAAGUCAGAUGUGAAAUCCCCGGGCUCAACCUGGGAACUGCAUCUGAUACUGGCAAGCUUGAGUCUCGUAGAGGGGGGUAGAAUUCCAGGUGUAGCGGUGAAAUGCGUAGAGAUCUGGAGGAAUACCGGUGGCGAAGGCGGCCCCCUGGACGAAGACUGACGCUCAGGUGCGAAAGCGUGGGGAGCAAACAGGAUUAGAUACCCUGGUAGUCCACGCCGUAAACGAUGUCGACUUGGAGGUUGUGCCCUUGAGGCGUGGCUUCCGGAGCUAACGCGUUAAGUCGACCGCCUGGGGAGUACGGCCGCAAGGUUAAAACUCAAAUGAAUUGACGGGGGCCCGCACAAGCGGUGGAGCAUGUGGUUUAAUUCGAUGCAACGCGAAGAACCUUACCUGGUCUUGACAUCCACGGAAGUUUUCAGAGAUGAGAAUGUGCCUUCGGGAACCGUGAGACAGGUGCUGCAUGGCUGUCGUCAGCUCGUGUUGUGAAAUGUUGGGUUAAGUCCCGCAACGAGCGCAACCCUUAUCCUUUGUUGCCAGCGGUCCGGCCGGGAACUCAAAGGAGACUGCCAGUGAUAAACUGGAGGAAGGUGGGGAUGACGUCAAGUCAUCAUGGCCCUUACGACCAGGGCUACACACGUGCUACAAUGGCGCAUACAAAGAGAAGCGACCUCGCGAGAGCAAGCGGACCUCAUAAAGUGCGUCGUAGUCCGGAUUGGAGUCUGCAACUCGACUCCAUGAAGUCGGAAUCGCUAGUAAUCGUGGAUCAGAAUGCCACGGUGAAUACGUUCCCGGGCCUUGUACACACCGCCCGUCACACCAUGGGAGUGGGUUGCAAAAGAAGUAGGUAGCUUAACCUUCGGGAGGGCGCUUACCACUUUGUGAUUCAUGACUGGGGUGAAGUCGUAACAAGGUAACCGUAGGGGAACCUGCGGUUGGAUCACCUCCUUACCUUAAAGAAGC